AUGUACAAAAGCCUCAAAGGGCAUCAGACAUUAUGUGAUGUCCUCAAAAAGCAGAUUCUGAGCCGAAACCCUAGAAAAGAGGGUAUUGGGUUCGAGAGGAAAAUGAAUGUUGAUGGGUCGUACUGGAAGCCUGAGCAGUACCCCAAAACCACAUGGGUUGCUGCAAAGGAACCUUCAGUAGAUCCAUCCAUCUUAUCUGGUUUCACUUGCACUAACCCUAUUAUCAUUGAUGAAUCCUUUGAUGCAAACUAUAAACUGUUUAAGGAUCAGAAUGGUGAAGUGUUUGCCAGGUAUAUUGGUACUAACUGCAGGAAUGGACCGCCUAUGAAGAAGAUCUGGGUACCUAAACGGUGUAUUGAGAAUCUUCCUGUGAAUGUCAUCCUGACACCACCAAGGAAGAGGACAAACCUCAGACCUAUGGCUUCAUAUGGCCCAAAGGCUUCAUACAGAUACAGGACUCACCUGAGUCACCCUAACGCCAAUGUUUUGCAGGGAAACCAUACUCAGACUUAUGAAUAUGAGCGUGUGUCUUCAAACCGCUAUGUUCAUAGAACUAAGAACUUUUCUGCUUAUUCAUAUGAGUAUCGUUCUCCUGCUGCAAGACUAUUUGCUAGGACUCCAAAGCCAAAAUUCUCAGAUGCUGCACUUAGACUCAUUGCUUCUAAGCCACCCCUGAAGAUGUGGGUGGUUAAGAAGAAUUAA
Molecule: ribosomal RNA, 702 nt
Filed under: Triticum aestivum (bread wheat)
Lineage: Eukaryota; Viridiplantae; Streptophyta; Magnoliopsida; Poales; Poaceae
Description: partial small subunit ribosomal RNA
Source: RNAcentral